This 252-nucleotide ribosomal RNA is filed under the name uncultured bacterium. Its description in RNAcentral is "partial 16S ribosomal RNA". It matches the Rfam family "Bacterial small subunit ribosomal RNA", at positions 524 to 776 of the family's 1533-position model. The record is from RNAcentral.
GACAGAGGGUGCAAACGUUGCUCGGAAUACUGGGCGUAAAGCGCGUGUAGGUGGUCACGCAAGUCAGGUGUGAAAGCCCAGGGCUCAACCCUGGAAGUGCACAUGAUACUACGUGGCUGGAGUACUGAAGAGGAGAGCGGAAUUCCCGGUGUAGAGGUGAAAUUCGUAGAUAUCGGGAGGAACACCAGUGGCGAAGGCGGCUCUCUGGGCAGAUACUGACACUGAGACGCGAAAGCGUGGGUAGCAAACAGG